Long non-coding RNA from Ochotona curzoniae (black-lipped pika), 636 nucleotides. RefSeq lists it as uncharacterized. The record is from RefSeq and is a predicted model, not a curated record. The transcript has 4 exons. Lineage: Eukaryota; Metazoa; Chordata; Mammalia; Lagomorpha; Ochotonidae.
ACCCUCCCCGGGUGCCCACAGGCUUCCAGGGACGCGCGCGUCGCCGGUUCUUUGUGGCGGGCCGAGACCUGGGAGAGGAGGCGGGACCCAGACCUCGGCCACCUGCUCUGGGGCCAACCAGGGACGCUCCUGGCUUGCCCCAGCCCCUUCCCCGCCUUCGCAGCCGCACCGCCAGGGACCCAGGCCUGGGACUCCCGCCGGAGCCACGCCGCGACAAGGUUCUUCCGAUGCCAUCCUCAUCCACUCUGGAACUGCGUGCGUCUUGGCUUACCUGCAAAACUAGGGGUGAGGUUCCAAGCCGCUGAUUUACUGCGGGAGGAGGUGUCCGCGGAGUCGGCGCGCUAAGGCGGAGAAUUUUCCAAGGAAAAGCGAAGACACUGGGCGCCAGCUGCUGCCUGUCCUGCCCUGCUGGCUGGCCUGCCCGUGCCGCGCCUGUGAACAUCCCAGCUCCUGGGGAAGGACAGCUACAAAUGGCCAUCACCUGAGCUGCCUGAACAUCUGCGGAAGUCAAGACGCAGUGCCUCCACACAAAAAACAACCAUCACCUCCACCACCACCACCAACAAAAAAACCCUGUAAGCCUUAUCUUCCCUCUCAUAGACCUAACCUCUAAUGUGAAAUUAAGUUGGACUCUUA